AGUAUGAGGUCUUUACAUAGUCCCAUGGCCAUCCUUCCUGUCCUUGUCAUCUCACAGGCAUAGGUAUGAAAGAGAGGAGCCCUGGUCACGGUCAUCUAAUGAGCACUAUGCAUGGAUUGUAACUGUAUCCACUGUUUUUUUUUUUAUUUUACAAGCCCCACUUCUCAGUUCUUAUUCCCAUUCUGCUGCUGCUUCUGUUCUUCUUUGGGGAUGAACACUAAGCAGCUGAGGUUGGCCUGGACCUCAAGAUGUAUCCCACCCUGGCCUCAAACUCAAGAGCCUCCUGGCCCAAGUAUUACAGGUAUGCACCUGCCUGAAUGCAAUCCAGUUUCCCUUCUUCUCUCCUAGGAUUCUUGACCCUCAGCUGAAAGUGAGGAUGUCAACAUACACCCAGAUAUACCAAGUAGAUGUCAUGAUACACCAGGCCUCAGUUUACCCAUGCUAACUCAUGGACCUGCUCUUGUCAGCUUGGCCCAGAUGAGUCACGAGACUUUUCUUGAGAAUGUGUUCACUCCCUCCACAGACCUGAUUUAAAGUUCCUUGUUAUUGGCGUCAAGAAGAGGUGUCUGAAUGAUCUGAGUAUAUUUCCUUGAAUUUAUCUUAUUAGGAGAUGGAUGAUCUCAAAAAGAAAAAAAAAA
RNAcentral lists this long non-coding RNA (638 nucleotides) under Rattus norvegicus (Norway rat). Its description in RNAcentral is "long non-coding RNA NONRATT013920". Lineage: Eukaryota; Metazoa; Chordata; Mammalia; Rodentia; Muridae. The record is from RNAcentral.